RNAcentral lists this ribosomal RNA (253 nucleotides) under uncultured bacterium. RNAcentral's name for it is "partial 16S ribosomal RNA". It matches the Rfam family "Bacterial small subunit ribosomal RNA", at positions 524 to 776 of the family's 1533-position model. The record is from RNAcentral.
UACGAAGGGGGCUAGCGUUGCUCGGAAUCACUGGGCGUAAAGGGUGCGUAGGCGGGUCUUAAGUCAGGGGUGAAAUCCUGGAGCUCAACUCCAGAACUGCCUUUGAUACUGAGGAUCUUGAGUUCGGGAGAGGUGAGUGGAACUGCGAGUGUAGAGGUGAAAUUCGUAGAUAUUCGCAAGAACACCAGUGGCGAAGGCGGCUCACUGGCCCGAUACUGACGCUGAGGCACGGAAAGCGUGGGGAGCAAACAGG